AGUCUUCCUACCUCGUCCUCCCAAAGAGCUUGGGAUUACAGGCUUGAGCCACUGUGCCUGGCCUUCCCAUCUUUAUAGUGUAUCUUACCCUCUUGCAUGGUCUGCCCCAUCCCUGGCCUUAGCCCUGCUCUUCUCACCUCCUGUCUUUUCAGGUCACACAUUUUAUGACCAAGUGGCUAGGGUACUGUUGACACACAUGACUGGAAAGAGCCUGAGGAAGAAAUGGGGAGGGAGAUGAAUCUGAAGGCUAGGUUGUAAAGAACCCAUCCCCACUUCCUCCUGGAACACUUAGGGUCUAAGAGUCAUGUGCAGUUAGUCUUGAAAAGAACCUCUGAUUGGUAGCUCUUUCAUUUACUGGCAUGGCCACUCUUUAUCUUCUCCAUGGGAAUCUGGUCUCCAAGUCACUCUCCACUUGCCCAGUAUCUCUCUGCUGAGGAAGGGGCUAAGAGGUCUGAGGAAUUAUGACCCCUGCCUACCUCCUGAUAUUACUUACAUUGUGAGGAGACCUUUAGCCAGCUGGGAGGCCAAGGAUGGUAUGGGAUUGGGAGUAAGGCAAGAUCCAUUUGUUGAGCAAUGAGAGUGUUGAGAAAGAAAGAAAAAACUCUACAGGUGGGAAAAAGGAAGUAGAAAAGGAAAAGAGAAGAUCCUGGAGAGGGAGAUGACCUAAGAGAAGAGAGCAGGUGAGGAAUAAGGGUGUCGAGGAGGCAAGGGGCUAUCCCUGGGGCUCUAACCUGUGACCAGAGGGUCCAGGGAGCUGUGGCUGAGGUUUUUCUUACCACUGCGAAGCCCACCAUGGCUGGACAGCUGCAGGGCUCUCUCAGGGCAGUUCCAGCGGUCCCAGGCAAACUGAUACUUGCAUUCUUCAAUACCACUCUGGGCACCAGCUGCCACACUGCUGGAGUAAAUCAGGUAAGCCUGUAGGGACAUAGGGGUAAAAAUUCAGACUGAACUUAGGAGGCAUUUACCCUAAACUGACCAAACAGCCCUCUUCCUGCUCACUCUCCCAUCCCUCCAAAAUAAUGGAGUAAGCCUUUAAAUAUGCUGUCUCAUUUGACAUCACAAAUAACUUGUGAAAUAGGCACUAUAUUAUAGAUUAGGAAACUGAGGCCCAGGGAGUGAGCUAAAGUAAUUUCCCCAAAGUCCCAGAGCUAGCAAAUGGCAGAACUAGAAAUGAAACUCAGUUUUAUCAGACUCUAGUCCCUAUUAUCCUUUAUUCACCUUUCUUCACUAUACUAUCCUGUCUCUCCAAAAUGAGCCCAAAUCACCUAAUUCAUGAAAUUUAAGGAGUUCUCAUCACAUGACCAUCUUAGAAAACAACAUUUUGGAACUGAAAAUGCCCAUGAAUGUAAAGAUCAUGUAGUACAAUUCCAGCAUUUUAAACAUGGGAAACUGCAUCCCACCACGGGGCACUGAGAAGGAUGUGUGACUUUGCAGCCUGACACCUAUAAAAGGCUGUUGACUUUUAUGGCUCUGGAAAUUCUAGCCAUAAAUUCAGUGCUCCUGCGUUCUUAUCUUGGCGCUGACAGUGGUUUGCUAUGUGGUUUUAGAUGUGUCCCUAACACCCUCUGGGUCUCAAUCUUUCUAUCUGUAAUGUAUACAGCAUAAUAAAAUAUGUGGAUAUAAUGAAAAAUCUGCAUUUAUCAUCUUUAGUCAACAGGCUAAGAUUAGUGAAAUCCAUAUCAAUUAAUGGAAUUUGUUCUUACCUUUGGACCAGUCAUCAGGAAAUUGUUCACCGACCUAUAAGGGAAAAAAAAAACAAAAACAGAAUAUAAUGCAGAGACACCAACUUGUUUCUGCUUCCAAGAGUGACAGGAAAUCUGAGACUCCAGAAAAGUUAAACGUGUGUUCAGGCUCACCCAGCUAAUAAGUGAGUGAAGCAGGAUUUGAAUCCACAUUCAUCUGACUCCGUGGGACGUUAGAAGGAUACUUCUCUAAUUAGGAAGAGAAACAGAGACUGAAACAUAGAGUGGCCACCCAGCCUCACACAGCUAGACACUUGAAUUUGGACAGACAAGCAACCCAGCCACCUUUCAGUGUGGCUGUGUCAGUAUCGGAAUGAAAUGAACAUGACCCCCUCCAGCAGGGAAGGGAACACACAGUAAAGAUGGUCAAAAUGAGAGCUGAUGAAGAGAGAGACUGAGCUCAUAUCUGAACUGGAGAGAAACUCCGAACACCCUAGCAACCUGCAUUCUGUAUGUUAUUGUGUACUGGUGUAUUUGCUAAUGAACAGUUGCAUGUAUAGAUAGUUUAUGUGGUUUCCAAGAGCUAAAUGAGAAUGGUGAUGAUAUUCUUUAGCAUUUGUGUUUAUAAUUUACAAAGCACUUUCAUAUACGUUAUCUGAUUUUCUGAACAAUUUAGAAAUAUUUGUAAAUUGAACAAAUUAAAUAAAUUUCUCGAGACGUUUAGA
Molecule: long non-coding RNA, 2407 nt
Filed under: Homo sapiens (human)
Lineage: Eukaryota; Metazoa; Chordata; Mammalia; Primates; Hominidae
Description: HSALNT0359605
Source: RNAcentral